This 445-nucleotide ribosomal RNA is filed under the name uncultured bacterium. Its description in RNAcentral is "partial 16S ribosomal RNA". It matches the Rfam family "Bacterial small subunit ribosomal RNA", at positions 354 to 796 of the family's 1533-position model. The record is from RNAcentral.
GUGAGGAAUAUUGGUCAAUGGGCGAGAGCCUGAACCAGCCAAGUCGCGUGAAGGAAGAAGGAUCUAUGGUUCGUAAACUUCUUUUGCAGGGGAAUAAAGUGCAGGACGUGUCCUGUUUUGUAUGUACCCUGAGAAUAAGGAUCGGCUAACUCCGUGCCAGCAGCCGCGGUAAUACGGAGGAUCCGAGCGUUAUCCGGAUUCAUUGGGUUUAAAGGGUGCGUAGGCGGACUAUUAAGUCAGUGGUGAAAUCCUGCAGCUUAACUGCAGAACUGCCAUUGAUACUGAUAGCCUUGAGUUUGGUUAAGGUAGGCGGAAUGUGUAAUGUAGCGGUGAAAUGCUUAGAUAUUACACAGAACACCAAUUGCGUAGGCAGCUUACUGAGCCGACACUGACGCUGAGGCACGAAAGCGUGGGGAUCGAACAGGAUUAGAUACCCCAGUAGUCC